Mus musculus (house mouse) is the source of this 348-nucleotide long non-coding RNA. RefSeq annotates it as predicted gene, 40658. The transcript has 3 exons. Lineage: Eukaryota; Metazoa; Chordata; Mammalia; Rodentia; Muridae. The record is from RefSeq and is a predicted model, not a curated record.
GGAUAGAACUGAUAUCUGAAAGAUUCCACAUGGACUGAGCCACAGUAAAGACACCUGCAAGCACCAAGCAUCUAAGAGUCCACCUGCAGAGUUGAAACUAGGACACCUGUGUGGUUGUUAAAGCCUCAAACUCAGUGUCUAUAUGAGGAGAACGACCUUAAACGUAUGUUUCAGAGGACUGGGACUACAUGAGUGCACCAACAUGGCUGGUUUCUGUGAUGCUGCAAUCGAACCCAGGACUUCAUCCAUUCAAGGCAGUGACUCUAUCAACUGUUCUUCAUUCCCAGCACUAUUCCAUGGCAUGGUGCAUAACAUUGAUCCAGCUUCUGGAUCAAUUUCGCCAAUGUG